Molecule: non-coding RNA, 1042 nt
Organism: Styela clava
Lineage: Eukaryota; Metazoa; Chordata; Ascidiacea; Stolidobranchia; Styelidae
Source: RefSeq, a predicted model, not a curated record
UCAGUCAUAUUCAGAAUUUUGAGUGGUAUAUGAUGAAUAUAGAUUUCGGCAUUGAGUUCUUGUUUCUUUUCUUAUAUACCUUUCGAGUGUAUUUAUUUACGUGUUUUGCAACGUUUUUAUUUAUAAAUCAUGUCUUGUUUUCCGAUCAUAUUUUUUGUAAGUUGUAAUCCGCGUCAACGUGCUGUUUAUAAUUUUUCCUACUUUGCACAAGAACUUUGUAUCAUCGCUAAAAAGUGAGCAAUAACUAUUUUCAAAUUACAGGCCUAAAAGUGAAGAAAAAUCGACCGGUAUAUGAUAUUGGCAUGAUUGAUGUAGAUAGAAAGGGCUUUGCGAAGAAGGAAGAUAUUGUUACUGCUGGUGGACGAGUGACGAUCGGUCGAUGUAAAUGGAAAGGUCUUUGUGAAGGUAGAAGAUAAUUGUUACUGCUGGUGACCGAGUGGCAAUUGAUCGAUGUAAAUGGACAGCAGGCAUACGAACGCGAAAUGAGAUUUUGAAGAAACAAGAUAGCAAUGGAACGAAAUAUUUCACCCAUUCUUCCGGGAACAGCGAAUCAAGGCGAUUUCAAUAUUACAAAUCUGGAUAAAGUGCGUACUGGACAGAUGAUUAAUCUCACAUGAAGCAGACGAAGAACGGCAGUUUUAUAUCUUGUUAUAGACUAUGGAGUGUUUUAGAAUUGUACCAAUCGUAUUUUUUUCCAUUUUAUUUUAAUCAGUUUUGUAUCCGGGUUUUAGAGGAGAUCAGCGCUUGCUUUGCCACCCCAGAUCGUGGGUCAUGAUAGGUAUUGAUUGUUUAGGGACACUGAGAUUUCUUGAUGUGUACAUGUGAGUGCUGCCAUCGUAUAACUAUCACCUCGUAGACUGCUAUCAUAGAUACAGACGCAAUAUUUAUUCGAAUACGGUAUCUUGUACGUUGGUAAGGUUCCUGUACUUUUUCACAAAUUCCGUCGUUCUGUGCCUAGAAUCUUUGCAGUUUUUCUUAUUUUAACGUAAUUUAGGAAGUUGUAUUUCUUUUUUUAAUUAAUGAUUAAUAAAUAAAUAUAACC